Molecule: ribosomal RNA, 329 nt
Filed under: uncultured bacterium
Lineage: Bacteria
Description: bacterial SSU rRNA
Rfam family: Bacterial small subunit ribosomal RNA
Source: RNAcentral
UGCGCAGGCGGUUAUGCAAGACAGAUGUGAAAUCCCCGGGCUCAACCUGGGAACUGCAUUUGUGACUGCAUGGCUAGAGUACGGUAGAGGGGGAUGGAAUUCCGCGUGUAGCAGUGAAAUGCGUAGAUAUGCGGAGGAACACCGAUGGCGAAGGCAAUCCCCUGGACCUGUACUGACGCUCAUGCACGAAAGCGUGGGGAGCAAACAGGAUUAGAUACCCUGGUAGUCCACGCCCUAAACGAUGUCAACUGGUUGUUGGGAGGGUUUCUUCUCAGUAACGAGCUAACGCGUGAAGUUGACCGCCUGGGGAGUACGGCCGCAAGGUUGAA